CCUGACCCUACUAUCAAUUGUUUCUUAAAUUACACAUGCAAGUCUCAGCACCCCCGUGAGGACACCCUUAAUCCCUUAACCAGGCUAAGGAGCUGGUAUCAGGCACAACAUUUGCCCACAACACCUAGUCUUACCACACCCACAAGGGUAUUCAGCAGUGAUAAAUAUUGUUUAUAAGCGACAGCUUGACUCAGUUAAAGAAAGUAGAGCCGGCCAACUCGGUGCCAGCCGCCGCGGCUAAACCGCACGGGCUCAAAUUGAUAAUAAUCGGCGUUAAGCGUGAUUAAAGUUCUUCAAUAAUUAGAAUAAAAUCCACACUUAGCUGUGAAAAGCUUGAUGUGAGAGAAGAUCAAAAACGAAAGUUAUUCUAAUCAAUUACUUGAAUACACGACAGCUAGAAAACAAACUGGGAUUAGAUACCCCACUAUAAAGAGAAA
RNAcentral lists this ribosomal RNA (437 nucleotides) under Nanorana zhaoermii. RNAcentral describes it as "Nanorana sp. n. SQ-2019 partial 12S ribosomal RNA". It matches the Rfam family "Bacterial small subunit ribosomal RNA", at positions 18 to 805 of the family's 1533-position model. The record is from RNAcentral. Lineage: Eukaryota; Metazoa; Chordata; Amphibia; Anura; Dicroglossidae.